ACGCGUGAGGAACCUGGCUCAAAGAGGGGGACAACAGUUGGAAACGACUGCUAAUACCGCAUAAGCCCACGGGUCGGCAUCGACCUGAGGGAAAAGGAGCAAUCCGCUUUGAGAUGGCCUCGCGUCCGAUUAGCUAGUUGGUGAGGUAACGGCCCACCAAGGCGACGAUCGGUAGCCGGACUGAGAGGUUGAACGGCCACAUUGGGACUGAGACACGGCCCAGACUCCUACGGGAGGCAGCAGUGGGGAAUAUUGCACAAUGGGGGAAACCCUGAUGCAGCGACGCCGCGUGGAGGAAGAAGGUCUUCGGAUUGUAAACUCCUGUUGUUGAGGAAGAUAAUGACGGUACUCAACAAGGAAGUGACGGCUAACUACGUGCCAGCAGCCGCGG
This 391-nucleotide ribosomal RNA is filed under the name uncultured bacterium. RNAcentral describes it as "bacterial SSU rRNA". It matches the Rfam family "Bacterial small subunit ribosomal RNA", at positions 113 to 520 of the family's 1533-position model. The record is from RNAcentral.